AGUCACUGACAUUAGAUACCCCUGUAGUCCAGGGUGUAAACGCUGCAGACUUGGUGUUGGAAGUCCUUUGGGGGCAUUCAGUGCCGGAGAGAAGUUGUUAAGUCUGCUACUUGGGAGUACGUCCGCAAGGAUGAAACUUAAAGGAAUUGGCGGGGGAGCACCGCAACGGGAGGAGCGUGCGGUUUAAUUGGAUUCAACACCGUAAAACUCACCAAGGAAGACUGUUACAUGAAAGCCGAGAUGAAGACUCUGCUAGAUUUUCAG
This 264-nucleotide ribosomal RNA is filed under the name uncultured archaeon. Its description in RNAcentral is "partial 16S ribosomal RNA". It matches the Rfam family "Archaeal small subunit ribosomal RNA", at positions 718 to 982 of the family's 1478-position model. The record is from RNAcentral.